AGUGAACAGCCAUUUAAUCGCGUGCAGGGAGUAGGUGAUUGUUGGUAGGUGUUGUUGCUGGUAGAUGUGACUUAUGUUGGGAUUUAGCAUGAGCAGAUCACCAGGAUUUUUGAUGGAUGGACUUCCCAUGGGUGUUGACGAGCUGCCAGGAUUUAGUCAAAUAGAGGACUCUCACGGGGGUGUAGUCCACGACUUAAGCCUUAAGCUAGGUUGGGCUGUAGUUCUUGUAUUGGGUGAACCCCAAGCAUUGAACAGCCGUUCAAUGGCGUGCAG
Molecule: long non-coding RNA, 273 nt
Filed under: Capsicum annuum
Lineage: Eukaryota; Viridiplantae; Streptophyta; Magnoliopsida; Solanales; Solanaceae
Description: long non-coding RNA (CANN_LNC015074)
Source: RNAcentral